Molecule: ribosomal RNA, 263 nt
Filed under: uncultured archaeon
Lineage: Archaea
Description: partial 16S ribosomal RNA
Rfam family: Archaeal small subunit ribosomal RNA
Source: RNAcentral
ACGUCUACAUUAGAUACCCGGGUAGUCCCAGCCGUAAACUAUGCGCGUUAGGUGUAUCGGUGACCACGAGUUACCGAGGUGCCGAAGGGAAACCGUGAAACGUGCCGCCUGGGAAGUACGGCCGCAAGGCUGAAACUUAAAGGAAUUGGCGGGGGAGCACAACAACGGGUGGAGCCUGCGGUUUAAUUGGACUCAACGCCGGACAACUCACCGGGAACGACAGCAAUAUGUAGGCCAGGCUGAAGACCUUGCCUGAAUCGCUG